CCCUAUGGGGUGCACCAGGAAAUUGCUUUUGAAUUUAUUAAACGCUGAAGAAUCACUUCAGUGUUUUACCAUCUCUUCAAAAACUUUCAUCAUCUCCUGAUGAUUUCUUCCUGCGGAAUACUCUUGGCCGGUAUGAUAAGAUUCUUUGGACAUUUCCCGGCGUUUAUCAUUAUCCAUGAGUAAUUUCAUUUUAUCGGCCAGUUCAGACGAAGCCGGUGGAUGGGCAAUGACGUAUCCGUUGGUUCCGUCGGUGAUAAGGCCGCAGGCACCGUUGCACGUGGUUGUGAUGGAAGGUAGACCGCUGGCCAUGGCUUCAAUAACGACCAGAGAACACGCGUCAUAGUAUGUGGGUAACACAAAGACAUCGCUGUUUGCGUAAUAUUCCUCAAUAGAUUUUAUUUUUCCUGUAAAGAUAACAUCUUUUUCAAGGUCAAGGCGUGUGAUAAGAUUGGAAAGCGCCCCGUAGGG
RNAcentral lists this ribosomal RNA (468 nucleotides) under uncultured prokaryote. RNAcentral's name for it is "partial 16S ribosomal RNA". The record is from RNAcentral.